Molecule: ribosomal RNA, 497 nt
Filed under: uncultured bacterium
Lineage: Bacteria
Description: partial 16S ribosomal RNA
Rfam family: Bacterial small subunit ribosomal RNA
Source: RNAcentral
GAUGAACGCUGGCGGCGUGCCUAAUACAUGCAAGUCGAGCGAACAGACGAGGAGCUUGCUCCUCUGACGUUAGCGGCGGACGGGUGAGUAACACGUGGAUAACCUACCUAUAAGACUGGGAUAACUUCGGGAAACCGGAGCUAAUACCGGAUAAUAUAUUGAACCGCAUGGUUCAAUAGUGAAAGACGGUUUUGCUGUCACUUAUAGAUGGAUCCGCGCCGCAUUAGCUAGUUGGUAAGGUAACGGCUUACCAAGGCAACGAUGCGUAGCCGACCUGAGAGGGUGAUCGGCCACACUGGAACUGGGACACGGUCCAUACGCCUACGAGAGGCAGCAGUAGGGAAUCUUCCGCAAUGGGCGAAAGCCUGACGGAGCAACGCCGCGUGAGUGAUGAAGGUCUUCGGAUCGUAAAACUCUGUUAUUAGGGAAGAACAAAUGUGUAAGUAACUAUGCACGUCUUGACGGUACCUAAUCAGAAAGCCACGGCUAACUACGUG